UCGUGAGACAGUUCGGUCCCUAUCCGUCGUGGGCGUAGGAAAUUUGAGAGGAGCUGUCCUUAGUACGAGAGGACCGGGAUGGACAUACCUCUGGUGUACCAGUUGUCGUGCCAACGGCAUAGCUGGGUAGCUAUGUGUGGACGGGAUAAGUGCUGAAAGCAUCUAAGCAUGAAGCCCCCCUCAAGAUGAGAUUUCCCAACUUCGGUUAUAAGAUCCCUUAAAGAUGAUGAGGUUAAUAGGUUCGAGGUGGAAGCAUGGUGACAUGUGUAGCUGACGAAUACUAAUCGAUCGAAGACUUAAUCAAAA
This 306-nucleotide ribosomal RNA is filed under the name Staphylococcus aureus. RNAcentral's name for it is "partial 23S ribosomal RNA". It matches the Rfam family "Bacterial large subunit ribosomal RNA", at positions 2619 to 2925 of the family's 2925-position model. The record is from RNAcentral. Lineage: Bacteria; Bacillati; Bacillota; Bacilli; Caryophanales; Staphylococcaceae.